GUGGGGAAUUUUGGACAAUGGGCGAAAGCCUGAUCCAGCCAUGCCGCGUGCAGGAUGAAGGCCUUCGGGUUGUAAACUGCUUUUGUACGGAACGAAAAGACUCCUUCUAAUAAAGGGGGUCCAUGACGGUACCGUAAGAAUAAGCACCGGCUAACUACGUGCCAGCAGCCGCGGUAAUACGUAGGGUGCAAGCGUUAAUCGGAAUUACUGGGCGUAAAGCGUGCGCAGGCGGGUAUAUAAGACAGAUGUGAAAUCCCCGGGCUCAACCUGGGAACUGCAUUUGUGACUGUAUAGCUAGAGUACGGUAGAGGGGGAUGGAAUUCCGCGUGUAGCAGUGAAAUGCGUAGAUAUGCGGAGGAACACCGAUGGCGAAGGCAAUCCCCUGGACCUGUACUGACGCUCAUGCACGAAAGCGUGGGGAGCAAACAGGAUUAGAUACCCGAGUAGUCC
RNAcentral lists this ribosomal RNA (450 nucleotides) under uncultured bacterium. RNAcentral describes it as "partial 16S ribosomal RNA". It matches the Rfam family "Bacterial small subunit ribosomal RNA", at positions 354 to 796 of the family's 1533-position model. The record is from RNAcentral.